Lolium rigidum is the source of this 104-nucleotide small nucleolar RNA. RefSeq annotates it as small nucleolar RNA snoR97. The transcript has a single exon. NCBI's taxonomy places the organism in Eukaryota, Viridiplantae, Streptophyta, Magnoliopsida, Poales, Poaceae. The record is from RefSeq and is a predicted model, not a curated record.
CUCUGAUUUUGUGGAAGAGGCUAAAAAUCUCGGGAGAGCUUGUGUUGUCAUCAGCUUCGUCACUUGUUUAUACGAGAUGGGAGUUAAAUAACGUCACGAAAUCC